This 456-nucleotide ribosomal RNA is filed under the name uncultured bacterium. Its description in RNAcentral is "bacterial SSU rRNA". It matches the Rfam family "Bacterial small subunit ribosomal RNA", at positions 772 to 1231 of the family's 1533-position model. The record is from RNAcentral.
ACGCAAUAGAUACCCAGGUAGUCCACGCCCUAAACGAUGUCUACUAGUUGUCGGGUCUUAAUUGACUUGGUAAACGCAGCUAAACGCGUGAAGUAGACCGCCUGGGGAGUACGGUCGCAAGAUUAAAACUCAAAGGAAUUGACGGGGACCCGCACAAGCGGUGGAUGAUGUGGAUUAAACUCGAUGCAACGCGAAAAACCUUACCUACCCUUGACAUGGAAGGAAUCCCUGAGAGAUUGGGGAGUGCUCGAAAGAGAACCUUUACACAGGUGCUGCAUGGCUGUCGUCAGCUCGUGUCGUGAGAUGUUGGGUUAAGUCCCGCAACGAGCGCAACCCUUGUCAUUAGUUGCUACGAAAGGGCACUCUAAUGAGACUGCCGGUGACAAACCGGAGGAAGGUGGGGAUGACGUCAAGUCCUCAUGGCCCUUAUGGGUAGGGCUUCACACGUCAUACAAU